GAGAAGGUGGCCGAGUGGUUAAGGCGAUGGACCGCAAAUCUAUUAGGCCCUGCACCCAUGGGUUCGAAUUCCAUCCUCGUCG
This is a non-coding RNA of Araneus ventricosus, 82 nucleotides long. NCBI's taxonomy places the organism in Eukaryota, Metazoa, Arthropoda, Arachnida, Araneae, Araneidae. The record is from the annotation of a GenBank genome assembly.